AGCCUGAUGCAGCCAUGCCGCGUGUAUGAAGAAGGCCUUCGGGUUGUAAAGUACUUUCAGCGAGGAGGAAGGCGUUGUGGUUAAUAACCGCAGCGAUUGACGUUACUCGCAGAAGAAGCACCGGCUAACUCCGUGCCAGCAGCCGCGGUAAUACGGAGGGUGCAAGCGUUAAUCGGAAUUACUGGGCGUAAAGCGCACGCAGGCGGUCUGUCAAGUCGGAUGUGAAAUCCCCGGGCUCAACCUGGGAACUGCAUCCGAAACUGGCAGGCUAGAGUCUUGUAGAGGGGGGUAGAAUUCCAGGUGUAGCGGUGAAAUGCGUAGAGAUCUGGAGGAAUACCGGUGGCGAAGGCGGCCCCCUGGACAAAGACUGACGCUCAGGUGCGAAAGCGUGGGGAGCAAACAGGAU
Molecule: ribosomal RNA, 406 nt
Filed under: Citrobacter freundii
Lineage: Bacteria; Pseudomonadati; Pseudomonadota; Gammaproteobacteria; Enterobacterales; Enterobacteriaceae
Description: bacterial SSU rRNA
Rfam family: Bacterial small subunit ribosomal RNA
Source: RNAcentral